Molecule: ribosomal RNA, 263 nt
Filed under: Actinomycetales bacterium SN12
Lineage: Bacteria; Bacillati; Actinomycetota; Actinomycetes; Actinomycetales
Description: Bacterial large subunit ribosomal RNA
Rfam family: Bacterial large subunit ribosomal RNA
Source: Rfam by way of RNAcentral
CCAGUAAACGGCGGUGGUAACUAUAACCAUCCUAAGGUAGCGAAAUUCCUUGUCGGGUAAGUUCCGACCUGCACGAAUGGCGUAACGACUUCCCAACUGUCUCAACCGCGAACUCGGCGAAAUUGCAUUACGAGUAAAGAUGCUCGUUACGCGCAGCAGGACGGAAAGACCCCGUGACCUUUACUACAGCUUGGUAUUGGUGUUCGGUGUGGCUUGUGUAGGAUAGGUGGGAGACUGUGAAACCGUGACGCCAGUUACGGUGG